GCCGAGGUGGCGAAAUUGGUAGACGCGCUAGCUUCAGGGGCUAGUGGGGGCAACCCCUUGGAGGUUCAAGUCGUCUUCUCUGCACCA
Molecule: transfer RNA, 87 nt
Filed under: Alteromonadaceae bacterium
Lineage: Bacteria; Pseudomonadati; Pseudomonadota; Gammaproteobacteria; Alteromonadales; Alteromonadaceae
Description: tRNA-Leu
Rfam family: tRNA
About the family: Transfer RNA (tRNA) molecules are approximately 80 nucleotides in length. Their secondary structure includes four short double-helical elements and three loops (D, anti-codon, and T loops). Further hydrogen bonds mediate the characteristic L-shaped molecular structure. tRNAs have two regions of fundamental functional importance: the anti-codon, which is responsible for specific mRNA codon recognition, and the 3' end, to which the tRNAs corresponding amino acid is attached (by aminoacyl-tRNA synthetases). tRNAs cope with the degeneracy of the genetic code in two manners: having more than one tRNA (with a specific anti-codon) for a particular amino acid; and 'wobble' base-pairing, i.e. permitting non-standard base-pairing at the 3rd anti-codon position.
Source: RNAcentral